Molecule: long non-coding RNA, 719 nt
Organism: Astatotilapia calliptera (eastern happy)
Lineage: Eukaryota; Metazoa; Chordata; Actinopteri; Cichliformes; Cichlidae
Source: Ensembl
UUUUUUUCUUUACGACUUUAAAUUAUAUAUCAACAGAGAUGUCAUUAAUUUGAUUACUUUCUUUUAGAUUUCUACAUCAAUGAUUUCACGCAAGUGGACUACGAAACAAUCGAUAAUGCAGUGAGUAACAGCAGAAAUCCGGCCGUUUUCCACGGCGAAUUAGAAGCCAUAUCCCCCGCAGAAUCUCCGCUGCCGCCGCAUCGAAGAGAAGACGGCACUAUUUCCGUCUCCGCAUACCGGGAGAACCGCGGAGAAAAAAGUUUUAAAAUCGAAGAGGUAACCGAGAAUAUACAGACCCCGCCGCAGCGAAAAGAAGAAGAAGAAGAAGAAGACGACGACGUUAUUUUCGUCAACGCAUACCGGGAGAACUGCAGGAAAAUACCUUUUAAACCAAAAGCCGAGAUUGCGGAUAUACCUAUUCAACCCCCCUCCGCUACAGACAAUUGCGCGGAGGAGCGAGGUAAAUAAAACGUUUUUUUCAUUCUCAAAAAAAUAGGAAGGAUGAGAUUGUUUUCUUAAAUCUCUUCUGUUUUAUUUUCCCCGACAGAGACCGAUACAGAAAAUCAGACUGAAGAAAAUCAGGUUGAGGAGGAACCGUCCAGAUCGCCUCCUCUCAGGAGAGUGAGAGCUCCUCUCGGAAGACUGAGAGCUCGACGGAUGCUUCAUAAGAAGAGAAUCCUUGAAAAACUCGCUUUCAUGUACGUCGCAACAGUUCGCAC